UGUGUGUUUGUGUUUAAUAGUCUCCAUAUUUAGCUCUUUGCACUACCUGUUGACUUUUGUAUGAGUUCUACAUUUCCUGCUACCCAAAGGUUGUCUGGAAGAGAUCGCUUUUUAGCGAUAAGACCGCCUGUUGUUACCUGGUUCUAUUUUUUCUUUAAAUAUUUCUUUGUAGGUUUACAUGUAUGUAAAAUGUAUAAUUUUGGUGCAAUAAAGAAUAUUUACUUACUUACUUACUUAUACUGUUUUUUUUUAUACCACGACGGUGGCAAACAAGCAUACAGCCCGCCUGAUGGUAAGCAGUCACCGUAGUCUAUGGACGCCUGCAACACCAGAGAUAUUACAUGCGCGUUGCCAACCCUUUAAAAACCUGUACACUCCUAUUUUGAAGAACCCCAUACUGUAGCCCCUCGGGAAAACCUCGGCAGAGAGCUAAUUCCACAGCCGAAGCGUACGCGGGAGGAAAUUCCUCUUAAACCGCACAGUACGCGACCAUUUAGGUGCUAGGGUGUGAGGAUGAACGCCCUGCCGAUGGCGAGCGGUGCGGUGAUAGAAAGUGGCCGUUGGCAUCAUGCCAAACAAUUCUUCAGAGCACAGCCCAUUGUACAGGCGGUAGAACACACACAAGGAGGCAAAGUCUCUUCUUAGACUUAAAGGUUCAAUACCGUUUGUGAGUUUGGGAUCGUCGACAAUUCGUACAGCGCGCCUUUGGACCGAGUCGAAGGGUCCAAGCUGGCAUCCAGGUGCUCCUGCCCAAAGGUGACAGCAGUACUCCAUAUGGGGUCUGACUUGCGAUUUAUAUAGCAGCAGUCUUUGCCCCGGAGUAAAGUAUCGCCUCGCUUUAUUGAGCACACCGAGUUUUUUGGAUGCCAGUGCAGCCUUCCCUUCCAGGUGGCUACGGAAUUGGACGUCACUGGAGAUGUCGACACCGAGGAUCCCAAUACUCCCCGACAUUGUAAGGGCUGUGCCUUCGAACUAAGGGACCACAGUAAAUGGGGUUUUCUUAGCGGUAAACGCGCAAACUUGUAUCUUGGUGGGGUUGAAUCGCACUAAAUUGUCUCGGCCCCACACCGAAACUCUGGAUAGAGUGCUCUCAAUAUCCGACACAAGCUUUUCACGAUUCUCCAGCACCACGGAACGAGGGAUGUUGGCACGGCCUGUGUAAUAGGCAUCCCCAGUACUGUCGUCUGCAUAGCAAUGAAUGUCGUCGAUAGACAACAUGUCAUUGAUGUGCAGCAAAAACAGCGUUGGGGAUAGCACAGAACCUUGCGGAACGCCAGCGUUAAUGUCCAUGCUAUCGGAGCAGUUUCCGUCUACUACAGCUCGUAUGCGUCUGCCGGACAAAAAGCUAGCGAUCCAUUUGCAUAGUCCCUCCGGCAAUCCAUAAGAUGGUAACUUAGACAGGAGACCCCGAUACCAGACCCAAUCGAACGCCUUCGCUAUAUCUAGGCUAACUGCCAAUGCCUCACCUUGACUCUCAAU
Molecule: long non-coding RNA, 1479 nt
Organism: Cydia strobilella
Lineage: Eukaryota; Metazoa; Arthropoda; Insecta; Lepidoptera; Tortricidae
Exons: 3
Source: RefSeq, a predicted model, not a curated record